This 496-nucleotide ribosomal RNA is filed under the name uncultured bacterium. RNAcentral describes it as "partial 16S ribosomal RNA". It matches the Rfam family "Bacterial small subunit ribosomal RNA", at positions 28 to 507 of the family's 1533-position model. The record is from RNAcentral.
GAUGAACGCUGGCGGCGUGCCUAAUACAUGCAAGUCGAGCGAACAGACGAGGAGCUUGCUCCUCUGACGUUAGCGGCGGACGGGCGAGUAACACGUGGAUAACCUACCUAUAAGACUGGGAUAACUUCGGGAAACCGGAGCUAAUACCGGAUAAUAUAUUGAACCGCAUGGUUCAAUAGUGAAAGACGGUUUUGCUGUCACUUAUAGAUGGAUCCGUGCCGCAUUAGCUAGUUGGUAAGGUAACGGCUUACCAAGGCAACGAUGCGUAGCCGACCUGAGAGGGUGAUCGGCCACACUGGAACUGAGACACGGUCCAGACUCCUAGGGAGGCAGCAGUAGGGAAUCUUCCGCAAUGGGCGAAAGCCUGACGGAGCAACGCCGCGUGAGUGAUGAAGGUCUUCGGAUCGUAAAACUCUGUUAUUAGGGAAGAACAAAUGUGUAAGUAACUAUGCACGUCUUGACGGUACCUAAUCAGAAAGCCACGGCUAACUACGUG